This is a non-coding RNA of Triticum urartu, 1857 nucleotides long. The record is from RefSeq and is a predicted model, not a curated record. Lineage: Eukaryota; Viridiplantae; Streptophyta; Magnoliopsida; Poales; Poaceae.
AACAUCCCCCGCUGGGCCGCAGCGGCACCACCACCCAAAGCAAAGCGGAGCUGCGGAAGCGCGAAGGGGACGCAAGGGAGCGAAGCGCGGCGCGUCAGCGGGCAAACCCUAGGCGUACGGCGGGCGCCACAGCCCCCCGGCGGGCGGGCUCCGCACGGCUCGGCAGCGCGGCUCGGCUCGAUUCCGUCGGGCGUGGCCCGGCCAGGCGGCCAUGUCGAACAGGUCCAUUUGCAAGUUCUUUGUGAAUGGUGCUUGCUUUAAAGGAGACUACUGCCAAUUCUCCCAUGACUGGAAUGAUCAACCAAAUGAUGUCUGCACAUUUUACCAGAAUGGUGUGUGCUCUUAUGGCAGCCGUUGCAGAUAUGAACAUGUUGAAGUUUCUUCUGAAUACACCCAACCAUCAACUACUGCAGCACUUGCACCAUCCAACUCUUAUCUGUCAUGGUGUCCUCUUUGUGAGGGGGAAAUAGAUGUGAGCAACCAGACGCACAAAAGUUUAUCGGUAUGCUCUGUGCAUCAGUCUACCUGGAGAUUUGAUGAUGAAGAUUGCAUUCCAGAGGAUGGGAACAGCUUGUCAUCAGCGCUAACUGCACAAAACCAAGCGCUCCACCCACUUGCUCAUCUGCCCAUAUGCUCUUUUGCCGCAGCUGGAACUUGUCCCUAUGGGAAAGAGUGCCCUCAGAUGCAUGGGGAUCCAUGCACAACCUGUGGAAAACAGUGCUUGCAUCCCUACCGGCCCAGCGAAGGUGGGGCUCAUAUCAAGCUCUGCAAGAGAAACAACAAACGUCUUGAGACCUUGAAAAAAAGUGAAGAGAUGGAAUGUAGUGUGUGUUUGGACCGUGUGCUUUCAAAGCCCACAGCAGCGGAAAAGAGGUUUGGGCUUCUACCUGAAUGUGACCAUGCCUUCUGUAUCACAUGCAUUAGGAAGUGGCGCAGCAGCUCUCUUACAUCUUCUAUGGAUAUCGACUCUACAGUCAAGGCUUGUCCAAUAUGCCGCAAAGUCUCGUACUAUGUCAUUCCUAGUGCUACAUGGUACUCCUCGAAGGAGGAAAAACAGGAUAUAAUUGACGGUUACAAGGCCAAGCUCAAGUCGAUUGAUUGUAGGUACUUUGACUUUGGAAGGGACACUUGCCCCUUUGGUGGUCGAUGUUUCUACAAGUACUGUAUGUUCUCCAGCAUGCCUACACCGAUGGGCGCUUGGAGGAGCCGGCAACGGUGGCUGUGCUUCAUUUUCAUGCCGACAAUGGAAGUAUAGAGCAUGCAAGAAAUAUUGGAUUGGCGUACUUGCUCAGCCGGUUACAUCUAUAGGUAAAGACAUGAAACCAUGCAUCUCAAAUUAAGAAGGAAGCAGUUGAGAAGAGAAGUACGUACUUACUUAGGGAGCCAUAACUUUCUCUCCCGCUGGUGGUUGCUGCCAACUUAUAAUCCACACGUAGUCAGCUGCUGUAAAAGCAGAGGGUUCCUGACCGUUGGAUCAUGUCUUCUCAAGACUUUCGUGGUUCUUACUCUUCACUGCUGAAUGCAGAAACUUCAGUUUGCCGCCGUAAAUCUCCAAAAAAGUUACAAGACAACUGUAAACCUAACGACAGCGGAGAUGUCAUGCCUCAGAUCAUCACGGGUUCCUUGUCAUGAACAAUCAUUGUGUUGUCUUUGGGCUAGGAGUUCUCCUGUCGAACAUCAGAACUUCACGUCGUUACCUUGCCCGUGUACGAAAGGCACUGUAUAUACUCGUAGUGGUACAUCCUGUCCGUUUCUCGUCCAUGGAGUAAAUAAUUUGUUCAGGCUAUACAGGUAGAACAGUGCAACGCAGAUCCUUCCAUACGUGAAUUUAUGCUUUGGCCCGCGGGUUGAAACCUG